This 465-nucleotide ribosomal RNA is filed under the name Vreelandella stevensii. RNAcentral's name for it is "partial 16S ribosomal RNA". It matches the Rfam family "Bacterial small subunit ribosomal RNA", at positions 338 to 795 of the family's 1533-position model. Lineage: Bacteria; Pseudomonadati; Pseudomonadota; Gammaproteobacteria; Oceanospirillales; Halomonadaceae. The record is from RNAcentral.
CCUACGGGGGGCAGCAGUGGGGAAUAUUGGACAAUGGGGGCAACCCUGAUCCAGCCAUGCCGCGUGUGUGAAGAAGGCCCUCGGGUUGUAAAGCACUUUCAGUGAGGAAGAACGCCUGGUGGUUAAUACCCAUCAGGAAAGACAUCACUCACAGAAGAAGCACCGGCUAACUCCGUGUCAGCAGCCGCGGUAAUACGGAGGGUGCGAGCGUUAAUCGGAAUUACUGGGCGUAAAGCGCGCGUAGGUGGCUUGAUAAGCCGGUUGUGAAAGCCCCGGGCUCAACCUGGGAACGGCAUCCGGAACUGUCAAGCUAGAGUGCAGGAGAGGAAGGUAGAAUUCCCGGUGUAGCGGUGAAAUGCGUAGAGAUCGGGAGGAAUACCAGUGGCGAAGGCGGCCUUCUGGACUGACACUGACACUGAGGUGCGAAAGCGUGGGUAGCAAACAGGAUUAGAUACCCGUGUAGUC